Molecule: small RNA, 154 nt
Filed under: Arabidopsis thaliana (thale cress)
Lineage: Eukaryota; Viridiplantae; Streptophyta; Magnoliopsida; Brassicales; Brassicaceae
Description: ATSL120340
Source: RNAcentral
AUUUAUAUUUACGUAAACCUUCAAAUUUAAUAAAUUUUAAAAAACCAGACAUAAUUAUGUUGAGAGCAUCAGCAACGGUAAUUUCUCAACUUCCGUUUCUCAAUAUAUGUGUAAACAUAAAUAAAAGUGUGAACACAAAUAUUAUUAAUAUUUA